RNAcentral lists this ribosomal RNA (862 nucleotides) under uncultured bacterium. RNAcentral describes it as "bacterial SSU rRNA". It matches the Rfam family "Bacterial small subunit ribosomal RNA", at positions 28 to 896 of the family's 1533-position model. The record is from RNAcentral.
GACGAACGCUGGCGGCGUGCCUAACACAUGCAAGUCGAACGCGCUCCAUUCGGUAGCAAUACUGAUGAAGAGCGAGUGGCGAACGGGUGAGUAACACAUGAGCAACCUGCCCCGAAGACUGGGACAACACCGGGAAACCGGUGCUAAUACCGGAUAUCCCUAUCGGACCGCAUGAUCUGAUAAGGAAAUGGAUUCCGCUUCGGGAGGGGCUCGUGGCCUAUCAGCUAGUUGGUGAGGUAAUAGCUCACCAAGGCUUCGACGGGUAGCUGGUCUGAGAGGACGAUCAGCCACACUGGGACUGAGACACGGCCCAGACUCCUACGGGAGGCAGCAGUGGGGAAUCUUGCGCAAUGGGCGAAAGCCUGACGCAGCAACGCCGCGUGGAGGACGAAGGCUUUCUGAGUUGUAAACUCCUUUCAGCAGGGACGAUAGUGACGGUACCUGCAGAAGAAGCACCGGCCAACUACGUGCCAGCAGCCGCGGUGAUACGUAGGGUGCAAGCGUUGUCCGGAUUUAUUGGGCGUAAAGAGCUCGUAGGCGGUUUGAUAAGUCGGGUGUGAAACCUCCAGGCUCAACCUGGAGCCGCCAUUCGAUACUGUCAUGACUAGAAUUCGGUAGGGGACCACGGAAUUCCUGGUGUAGCGGUGAAAUGCGCAGAUAUCAGGAGGAACACCAGCAGCGAAGGCGGUGGUCUGGGCCGAAAUUGACGCUGAGGAGCGAAAGCGUGGGGAGCGAACAGGAUUAGAUACCCUGGUAGUCCACGCCGUAAACGUUGGGCACUAGGUGUGGGGACUAUUCAACGGUUUCCGUGCCGCAGCUAACGCAUUAAGUGCCCCGCCUGGGGAGUACGGCCGCAAGGCUA